CCUACGGGUGGCAGCAGUGAGGAAUAUUGGUCAAUGGGCGCGAGCCUGAACCAGCCAAGUCGCGUGAGGGAAGACGGCCCUAUGGAUUGUAAACUUCUUUUGUCUGGGAGUAAAAUACGCUAUGCGUGGUGCUUCGCGAGUACCUGAAGAAAAAGCAUCGGCUAACUCCGUGCCAGCAGCCGCGGUAAUACGGAGGAUGCGAGCGUUAUCCGGAUUUAUUGGGUUUAAAGGGUGCGUAGGCGGAAGAUCAAGUCAGCGGUAAAAUUGAGAGGCUCAACCUCUUCGAGCCGUUGAAACUGGUUUUCUUGAGUGAGCGAGAGGUAUGCGGAAUGCGUGGUGUAGCGGUGAAAUGCAUAGAUAUCACGCAGAACUCCGAUUGCGAAGGCAGCAUACCGGCGCUCAACUGACGCUCAUGCACGAAAGUGUGGGUAUCGAACAGGAUUAGAUACCCUUGUAGUC
Molecule: ribosomal RNA, 459 nt
Filed under: uncultured bacterium
Lineage: Bacteria
Description: partial 16S ribosomal RNA
Rfam family: Bacterial small subunit ribosomal RNA
Source: RNAcentral